This 140-nucleotide small nuclear RNA is filed under the name Spermophilus dauricus (Daurian ground squirrel). Lineage: Eukaryota; Metazoa; Chordata; Mammalia; Rodentia; Sciuridae. The record is from RNAcentral.
GUGUCUGAAGCCUCCACCAAUGUUGGUUUAAAAUCACCUCACUUCAGUGGCACAAAUACUAAAACUGGAAGACACAGAAGAGAGUAACAUGGUCCUUGCUCAAGUAUGACAUGGAAAUUUGUAAAAUGUCCAUAUAUUUU